Molecule: long non-coding RNA, 460 nt
Organism: Suricata suricatta (meerkat)
Lineage: Eukaryota; Metazoa; Chordata; Mammalia; Carnivora; Herpestidae
Exons: 2
Source: RefSeq, a predicted model, not a curated record
AACAGGCCCCACAUGGAGGCUUCUCUGCCUGCUCAUGACAUGAUGGCUGAGGACUGCCUUUCCUUCUGGUGUCCAGGGACACUGGCCCUUAUCUCAGUUCCUCAGACUUCUACCUGGACCUUCCCUGUCUGCACUGCCAGUGGUUUAUUUCAGCUCCUCCACAAGGACAAGCAAGACCCAGGCAAAGGAGAGCCAGCCACUCAAAUGCAAGUUCCACGGGUCUCUCUGAGUGAAAAUUAAAGUAAAUAAAAGAGAAGGAAAAAAGAAUGCAUCAAAUAAGGCAAGAUUCUGAUUUUUGGUUGAGCUGGCUCACAAAGCAGAUUGUCAAACCAUGUUUGCACAUGGUCACCUUUAAGGUCUAUAGCAGGAACCUGAUUUCAAGGAAGUCCAAAACAUGACAAAGUUCCUCCAGGCCUCAGGUCAUUCAGCAAGCUGUUUGAAUGUACAUGUUCGAAGCAUA